AUUUGGGCAAAGCAUCGCUAAUCACCCGCCGCCACGUCAGUGCCGUUAGCAAACUACCAGGGAAAGACUCUCCCCAGGGGCCGGGUCUGCCCGUGGAGAACUGAGCUAGGAAGUCGCAGGGAGAAUCAGAGCAACAGUCUGUCUGUCUGCAACCGCUCUGUGGGUUUCCUCCGAGCACUUCUGUGGGGUAAAGGCAUGUGGGGGCAGCUAGAUUUAUUUUAAAUGGUUUCAGUUACACCUCCUUUUGGUGGGUGAGGCACAUGGGUUACCUGCUGGAAAUGGACUCGACUGCGGGAAAAGAGACAGGCAGGAAGGGGCUUCGAGGCCUCUUCUAGUUCCUUCCAUCGUGGUAGCAGGCAGGCUCCUCGCCUGGACCCUGGAGCCCUUGUGAUGGAACCCGUUCUGAAUUGCCCAGGGCCCGGGCCUGGGAUGGAGGCAAGGAGGCAGAGCUUUGACCUUGGACAUCUCUACCCUGUUCAAAAAAAGGAAGCAUUCACCGGCAUAGACGCAAUGCCUGGUUUCCCGCUGCCUCCUUGCCAGGCUGAAGGGUUUGUAACCGGCCUUGUCACAAAAGGAGGCCUCAAGCUUGAGAGACCUCCUUCGAGUCACGCAUAACCCAGGGCACAACUUGCAUUGACAUCUCCUGCCACUGAACCAGAGCAGGCAUUUGAUUAUUAAGGGAACAACAACAAAAUACCCCCAACACGUUAUGUGAUUAUAAAGACAGAGCAUAAAUAAUUCAUGUAAAUGGAAUACAUACCUUUCAUCUUACUUGUUUUUAGCCAAAAAUCACUGCCCUGUUAGGGUCUGGAUUUUUUUGCUCUUCAUUUCCCCCACAGUCCCGGAUCUGACUGGAAUUAUAUUAUUUUACCCAACACUACGUAAGAACAGGAAUGCAAAAAAUCCGCCCCCCCUACACACACACCUUGUCCCUUCCCCAGGGCUUCAAGCUCAGUGGUAAGGCAAUUUUGCCUUCAGUAUAACAGGUAAGAUCUUUAGGAGGGAAUCUAUAACCUGGGGAAGGGAGAGGCGACAGAGGUGGGGAAGUGGCGGGUGUCACAGUUUGACCGACACGUUUGUUUCUAAGACAGUGAAGGAACGCUCAUCAGGAAAUGCAUACAAACCUGCCAGGCUGAAAUCAGGUGGGAGAGGGAAAGGGUCACACACCCCAAUCCAGAUAUGCCACCCAACCCCUCCCAAAUCAAAGACGGGGUUCAGCUCCACCGGCGUGUCCGCGAUGGGGCUGAGAACCGCAUCGCAGACCAAACGAGAAAAGGAAAGGCAAGAACAUAAACCCAAACCCAAACCCCUCAACCCCCGAGCAAAAACAAACAACAAACCACCUAGAGGUGAUGACAGAGACCCGUCAUUCUAGCUUAGGCUGUUGGUUGGCUGUUGGGUGGGAACGUGUGUGGCCCCAGCACGAGCUUCCGUGAGGGAAAAGGAUGGCCACGGAGGCUGCAGCUGCCAGAUCUCGUAGACGAGGGUCUGUUUCCAACAUCAUUCCUUUGUGAAAGCUCCCAGUGGC
RNAcentral lists this long non-coding RNA (1528 nucleotides) under Ursus americanus (American black bear). RNAcentral's name for it is "lncRNA (ENSUAMG00000016864.1)". The record is from RNAcentral. Lineage: Eukaryota; Metazoa; Chordata; Mammalia; Carnivora; Ursidae.